CUGGGGUACUCGAGUGGCGAACGGGUGAGUAACACGUGGGUGAUCUGCCCUGCACUUCGGGAUAAGCCUGGGAAACUGGGUCUAAUACCGGAUAGGACCAUCGUUUAGUGUCGGUGGUGGAAAGUUUUUCGGUGUGGGAUGAGCUCGCGGCCUAUCAGCUUGUUGGUGGGGUAAUGGCCUACCAAGGCGUCGACGGGUAGCCGGCCUGAGAGGGUGUACGGCCACAUUGGGACUGAGAUACGGCCCAG
This 248-nucleotide ribosomal RNA is filed under the name uncultured Actinomycetales bacterium. RNAcentral's name for it is "partial 16S ribosomal RNA". It matches the Rfam family "Bacterial small subunit ribosomal RNA", at positions 82 to 334 of the family's 1533-position model. The record is from RNAcentral. Lineage: Bacteria; Bacillati; Actinomycetota; Actinomycetes; Actinomycetales.